Molecule: long non-coding RNA, 338 nt
Organism: Ictalurus punctatus (channel catfish)
Lineage: Eukaryota; Metazoa; Chordata; Actinopteri; Siluriformes; Ictaluridae
Source: Ensembl
CUCAUCUCGAAGCUUCCCCACUCCUCGUUCCUCGCCUCCUCGCAGUGGAAUUAGAGAAUUGAUAUGUCCUUCAAGAUGUUUAACGUCGAUCGAUUUCCAGGUCACAGGCUGGAGGAGGGCUGGAUGGAGAAGAUGGAUGGAUGAGGAAACGAGGAAGCAUUAACUUGAGUAUUGAGAAGCACCCAGCUGCAGUAAGGACACACUCCAAGGCUGAGCCAGCUGUCCCCUUACAGUUUGUAUAUUUGGAAUGUACAAGACAUAAAAUGUCAGCCAACAAACAUACCUUGGUUGACUGGCUACAUUUGGGAGUUCGUCCCGUUUGAUGAUUUCUUUGUCAA